AUACGUAGGUGGCAAGCGUUGUCCGGAAUUACUGGGCGUAAAGGAUGCGUAGGCGGAUAUGUAAGUCAGAUGUGAAAUACCCGGGCUCAACUUGGGUGCUGCAUUUGAAACUGCAUGUCUAGAGUGCGGGAGAGGAAAGUGGAAUUCCUAGUGUAGCGGUGAAAUGCGUAGAUAUUAGGAGGAACACCGGUGGCGAAGGCGGCUUGCUGGACAAAUACUGACGCUGAGGUGCGAAAGCGUGGGGAGC
This 247-nucleotide ribosomal RNA is filed under the name uncultured bacterium. Its description in RNAcentral is "partial 16S ribosomal RNA". It matches the Rfam family "Bacterial small subunit ribosomal RNA", at positions 523 to 769 of the family's 1533-position model. The record is from RNAcentral.